Molecule: transfer RNA, 62 nt
Filed under: Ptilonyssus chloris
Lineage: Eukaryota; Metazoa; Arthropoda; Arachnida; Mesostigmata; Rhinonyssidae
Description: tRNA-Glu
Source: RNAcentral
GUUUUUAUAGUAUAAAAAAUAUAUAAUUUUUUCAAAAUUAAGAUGUUUAAUUACUAAAAAUU